UCGAGGUGUCUAUACUGACGUGGUGAAC
Molecule: small RNA, 28 nt
Filed under: Bombyx mori (domestic silkworm)
Lineage: Eukaryota; Metazoa; Arthropoda; Insecta; Lepidoptera; Bombycidae
Description: ovarian small RNA-28402
Source: RNAcentral